This is a long non-coding RNA of Cervus elaphus (red deer), 1141 nucleotides long. RefSeq lists it as uncharacterized. NCBI's taxonomy places the organism in Eukaryota, Metazoa, Chordata, Mammalia, Artiodactyla, Cervidae. The record is from RefSeq and is a predicted model, not a curated record. The transcript is spliced from 6 exons.
AACAAGGACAGAACGAGUAGGAGAUGUUUCUCUUGUACAACCAGAAGACCUAAAGCAGCCCAGCUUUUCUACCCAUUCCCCCCAGCUUGGGACUUAGUGGGAGAAGGCUAACAGCAAAGCUCAAAACUCCAUGCUACCUACACCACCCUAAGGAGGGAUGGGUGGUCUCAGAUUAAAAGUUCUUCAAGAAGAUGCUACCCUAGCAUCACCGAGCUCCAGGACAGAGCCAGCACCUGCUAGUGACCAAGCUAGGAAGACAAAAGCCAACCGCUGGAGACAUUUUACGGGGCUGUGAACUCCCACCGUCUGGGAACUGCCGUCCUAUGGGGUGAUGGCCCCAACUCUUGCUCUGCUGGAUGGAACAAGGAACGGGGUAGGAACCCCAGAGAUCCCCAGCCUGCGAAGCAGAGGGAUUAGAAAUGGCUUGGAUCAGACAAACUGAGGCUUGAAUCUGGUUAACCAGCUGUGUGACUUUUGGUGCCCUGGUGACUGUGAGCCAGCGUGGGACCUCUGGCAUCUGAUGUCUACCCAGGCUCUGUGCUGACACCAGCUUACAGGACACCCCCACCUCAAUUUCAGUAUCACAAGCAAAUCCUUGUAGGGGACUCUCAGUCUAGCUCAAAGCAAGGCUAUCUGUCUUAGUUGGUGGUGAGAUUUCCGUCAGAGAAGACAUUCAAGUAAAAGGUGAAAUAGUGUCUUCUUCAGCCAAGAACAGUGAUGCUUAAACUUUCCUGUGCAUGAGAAUCAUCUGAAGAGCUUUCAAGAUACAGAUUGCUGAGAUUGCUGGGCCAGACCCCCAGAGUUUCUGAUUCAGGCGGUCUUGGAUGGACCUGAGAAUCUGCAUUUCUAACAAGUUCCCAGAGUUUGAGAACUUCCCUCGUGGCAAAGUGGAUAGGAAUCCACCUGCCAAUGCUGUGGACAUGCGUUCUAUCCCUGGUCCAGGAAGAUUCCACAUGCCUAGGAACAGCUAAGCCCCUGUGCCAUGACUACUGAGCCUGCGCUCUAGACCCCACAAGCUGCAGCUAUUGAGCUCAAGUGCCUAGAGCUCUGCAACAAGAGAAGCCACUGCAAUGAGAAGCCCUAGCAUCACAACGAAGAGUAGCCCGUACUGACCACAGUUAGAGAAAGCCCGAGUGCAGCA